ACGAUGACUUCAUGUGCUUGCACAGAAUGAUUAGUGGCGAACGGGUGAGUAACACGUGAGUAACCUGCCCUUGACUUCGGGAUAAGCCUGGGAAACCGGGUCUAAUACCGGAUACGACCUCCUGGCGCAUGCCAUGGGGGUGGAAAGCUUUAUGCGGUUUUGGAUGGACUCGCGGCCUAUCAGCUUGUUGGCGGGGUAAUGGCCCACCAAGGCGACGACGGGUAGCCGGCCUGAGAGGGUGACCGGCCACACUGGGACUGAGACACGGCCCAGACUCCUACGGGAGGCAGCAGUGGGGAAUAUUGCACAAUGGGCGAAAGCCUGAUGCAGCGACGCCGCGUGAGGGACGAAUGCCUUCGGGUUGUAAACCUCUUUCAGCAGGGAAGAAGCGAAAGUGACGGUACCUGCAGAAGAAGCGCCGGCUAACUACGUGCCAGCAGCCGCGGUAAUACGUAGGGCGCAAGCGUUAUCCGGAAUUAUUGGGCGUAAAGAGCUCGUAGGCGGUUUGUCGCGUCUGCUGUGAAAGCCCGGGGCUCAACCCCGGGUCUGCAGUGGGUACGGGCAGACUAGAGUGCAGUAGGGGAGACUGGAAUUCCUGGUGUAGCGGUGAAAUGCGCAGAUAUCAGAGGAACACCGAUGGCGAA
Molecule: ribosomal RNA, 644 nt
Filed under: Arthrobacter luteolus
Lineage: Bacteria; Bacillati; Actinomycetota; Actinomycetes; Micrococcales; Micrococcaceae
Description: bacterial SSU rRNA
Rfam family: Bacterial small subunit ribosomal RNA
Source: RNAcentral